RNA transcript from Rosa chinensis, 1044 nucleotides. RefSeq lists it as uncharacterized. The record is from RefSeq and is a predicted model, not a curated record. The transcript has 3 exons. NCBI's taxonomy places the organism in Eukaryota, Viridiplantae, Streptophyta, Magnoliopsida, Rosales, Rosaceae.
ACCAAGUCUUCUCCUCUUCUCACAAUCCCAGAACAAAUUUCAAAACCCAAAUCGUUCCCGUCGGGGAACCAUGUCAAGAAUUUGGUAUCAAACACGUCUUCUCUUCUCAAUACCCAGAGCAAUUGCACAACCCAGUUCUCAUCCUGGAUUCGUUCCCGUCGUCGUUCUCCACCACCUCCUACGCUGUCGCUCCCACCACCUCCAUUUUGGAAAGGUCAGGGAAUUUAAACCUAGUUCUUUGCUAUGGAUGUUGGGGCAGAUUCUGUAGAUAGCUCCCUUGUUCUGGUGAAGUAAGGAGCUGAAGCUAGGGUUUUUAAGUCAACCUUUGUGGGAAGGAGGUCUAUUGUCAAGGAAUGGUUUUCGAAGAAGUACAGGCAUCCUACUUUGGAUGCAAAACUUACACUCAGGCGCCUCAAUCCUGUCUGUUUCUGUUUAUUCCCAAUUGGGUUUUGUCUGAGUCAAAUUAUUGGAGCAGGAGGCGAGGUGCAUGAGGAAAGCAAGACGGCUUGGGGUGCAUAUAUACUCUGGUGCUUUACAAUGUGGACACUGUGUUGCAUACCCUGACAUUGAAUAUGUGGAGGGGCCUUCUGUUAAAGAUGUGUUUCUUGAGUUUGGGUUAGGAGGUGGCCGUGUGGCUUCAGAAAUUGUUGUUAUUUAUGAUUGGUAGAUUUUGCUUUUAUUUAUUCUCUAGGAAUAGUUGUUGAUUGUUGUUUAUGAUUUUUUGAAACUUAAGAGUUCAUGCGUUCUUUGUUCUAAGAUACGGUAAAAGGUGAUCAAGAAGAAGCUCCAGCCAAUAUGCAGUCUCCUAAUCUAAAUAUGACAGAUGAUGUCGGGGUGUCUGUGAUAUAUAACUUUGUCUCAACAGGUUGAAACUACCAAGUGUUGAUAACAGUUCCUCACAGGUUUACAAACAGCGCGCGAAUCAACAAUCUGCUUACGUACCAACCGUAGAUGAACUCUACUUUUAACUUGAGAGUAUAAGGAUGUUGAACAUUAUUAUUUUGGUUGAUUUGGCAACUUUUGGUGUAUAUUUUGUUGAGCAUG